Molecule: ribosomal RNA, 465 nt
Filed under: uncultured bacterium
Lineage: Bacteria
Description: partial 16S ribosomal RNA
Rfam family: Bacterial small subunit ribosomal RNA
Source: RNAcentral
GAUGAACGCUGGCGGCGUGCUUAACACAUGCAAGUCGAACGGAAAGGCUCCUGCUUGCAGGGGUACUCGAGUGGCGAACGGGUGAGUAACACGUGGGUGAUCUGCCCUGCACUUCGGGAUAAGCCUGGGAAACUGGGUCUAAUACCGGAUAGGACGAUGGUUUGGAUGCCAUUGUGGAAAGUUUUUCGGUGUGGGAUGAGCUCGCGGCCUAUCAGCUUGUUGGUGGGGUAAUGGCCUACCAAGGCGUCGACGGGUAGCCGGCCUGAGAGGGUGUACGGCCACAUUGGGACUGAGAUACGGCCCAGACUCCUACGGGAGGCAGCAGUGGGGAAUAUUGCACAAUGGGCGCAAGCCUGAUGCAGCGACGCCGCGUGGGGGAUGACGGCCUUCGGGUUGAAAACUCCUUUCGCUAGGGACGAAGCGCAAGUGACGGUACCUGGAGAAGAAGCACCGGCUAACUACGUG